This is a long non-coding RNA of Oncorhynchus tshawytscha (Chinook salmon), 380 nucleotides long. The record is from Ensembl. NCBI's taxonomy places the organism in Eukaryota, Metazoa, Chordata, Actinopteri, Salmoniformes, Salmonidae.
GUUUCUCUCUCUGUGGUCUAACUGGACAGAUAGAUGGGGUUCUCUCUCUGUGCUCUAACUGGACAGGUAGAUGUGGUUUCUCUCUGUGUGGUCUGACUGGACAGGUAGAUGGGGUUUCUCUCUCUGUGGUCUGACUGGACAGGUAGAUGGGGUUUCUCUCUCUGUGGUCUAACUGGACAGAUGUAGUGGGGUUUCUCUCUCUGUGGUCUGACUGGACAGGUAGAUGGGGUUUCUCUCUCUGUGGUCUGACUGGACAGGUAGAUGGGGUUUCUCUCUCUGUGGUCUGACUGGACAGAUGUAAUGGGGUUUCUCUCUCUGUGGUCUGACUGGACAGAUGUAAUGGGGUUUCUCUCUCUGUGGUCUGACUGGACAGAUGUAAU